Molecule: ribosomal RNA, 253 nt
Filed under: uncultured bacterium
Lineage: Bacteria
Description: partial 16S ribosomal RNA
Rfam family: Bacterial small subunit ribosomal RNA
Source: RNAcentral
UACGGGGGGGGCAAGCGUUGUUCGGAAUUACUGGGCGUAAAGGGCUCGUAGGCGGCCAACUAAGUCAGACGUGAAAUCCCUCGGCUUAACCGGGGAACUGCGUCUGAUACUGGAUGGCUUGAAUCCGGGAGAGGGAUGCGGAAUUCCAGGUGUAGCGGUGAAAUGCGUAGAUAUCAGGAGGAACACCGGUGGCGAAGGCGGGACUCUGGGCCGAUACUGACGCUGAGGAGCGAAAGCGUGGGGAGCAAACAGG